UGAGGAAUAUUGGUCAAUGGGCGAGAGCCUGAACCAGCCAAGUAGCGUGCAGGAUGACGGCCCUAUGGGUUGUAAACUGCUUUUAUGGGGGGAUAAAGUGCGUGUCGUGUCAUGCAUUGCAGGUACCACAUGAAUAAGGACCGGCUAAUUCCGUGCCAGCAGCCGCGGUAAUACGGAAGGUCCGGGCGUUAUCCGGAUUUAUUGGGUUUAAAGGGAGCGUAGGCUGUCUAUUAAGCGUGUUGUGAAAUUUACCGGCUCAACCGGUGGGUUGACGCGCGAACUGGUCGACUUGAGUAUGCAGGAAGUAGGCGGAAUUCAUGGUGUAGCGGUGAAAUGCUUAGAUAUCAUGACGAACUCCGAUUGCGCAGGCAGCUUACUGUAGCAUAACUGACGAUGAUGCUCGAAAGUGCGGGUAUCAAACAGG
This 424-nucleotide ribosomal RNA is filed under the name Verrucomicrobiota bacterium. Its description in RNAcentral is "Verrucomicrobia bacterium partial 16S ribosomal RNA". It matches the Rfam family "Bacterial small subunit ribosomal RNA", at positions 355 to 776 of the family's 1533-position model. Lineage: Bacteria; Pseudomonadati; Verrucomicrobiota. The record is from RNAcentral.